GACGAACGCUGGCGGCGUGCUUAACACAUGCAAGUCGAACGGAAGGGCCCUGCUUUUGUGGGGUGCUCGAUUGGCGAACGGGUGAGUAACACGUGAGUAACCUGCCCUUGACUUUGGGAUAACUUCAGGGAACUGGGGCUAAUACCGGAGAGGAGCUCCUGCUGCAUGGUGGGGGUAGGAAAGUUUCGGCGGUUGGGGAUGUACUCGUGGCUUAUGAGCUUGUUUGUGGGGUAGGUGCUUCCCAAGGCUAUGACGGGUAGGCCGCCUGGGAGCGUUAACAGCGACCUUGCGCCUGCGAUACGCACCAGUAUCCUACGGGCCGCAGUAGUCGGAAGUCUUGCAGAACGGGCGGAAGCCUGAUGCGACAGCGCCGGGUUCGGGAUGCCGGGUUUCGGGUUGUAAACAGCUUUCGCAUGUGACGAAGAGUGAGUGACGGUACUUGGUAAAAAAGCACCGGCUAACUACGUG
Molecule: ribosomal RNA, 468 nt
Filed under: uncultured bacterium
Lineage: Bacteria
Description: partial 16S ribosomal RNA
Rfam family: Bacterial small subunit ribosomal RNA
Source: RNAcentral